Molecule: ribosomal RNA, 529 nt
Filed under: Heza similis
Lineage: Eukaryota; Metazoa; Arthropoda; Insecta; Hemiptera; Reduviidae
Description: partial 16S ribosomal RNA
Rfam family: Bacterial large subunit ribosomal RNA
Source: RNAcentral
AAAAACAUGUCCUUUUGUUUAUAAAUAUAAGGUCUAACCUGCCCAAUGAUUUGAUUUAAUGGCCGCGGUAUAUUAACUGUGCUAAGGUAGCAUAAUCAUUUGUCUUUUAAUUGAAGGCUAGAAUGAAUGGUUGGACGAGAUACAUGCUUUCUUUAAUUUAAUUAAUGAACUUAAUUUUUUAGUUAAAAAGCUAAAAUUUAUUUAAGGGACGAGAAGACCCUAUAGAUCUUUAUAUAUUUAAUUAUUAUAUAUUUUAGUAUAUUAAUUAUUUUAAUAUUUAUUUAUAUUUGGCUGGGGUGGUUGUAGAAUUCUUUUAACUUCUAUUUUUAUUAAACAUUAAUUUAUGUUUUAUUGAUCCAAUUUUAUUGAUUAAAAGAUUAAGUUACCUUAGGGAUAACAGCGUAAUUUUUUUGGAGAGUUCAUAUCGAUAAAAGAGUUUGCGACCUCGAUGUUGGAUUAAAAUAAGUUUUAGGUGCAGGAGCUAAAAACUAGGUCUGUUCGACCUUUAAUUUUUUACAUGAUCUGAGUC